This 6145-nucleotide long non-coding RNA is filed under the name Lathyrus oleraceus (garden pea). RNAcentral's name for it is "Pisum sativum (pea) long non-coding RNA (PSAT_LNC032707)". Lineage: Eukaryota; Viridiplantae; Streptophyta; Magnoliopsida; Fabales; Fabaceae. The record is from RNAcentral.
GAUACCAAUUGUAACACCUUCAUAUAAUAUACAUCUAAAAAAAUAUAUUACAUAUAAUGUAAUUUGGUACUGAUACACAUAAGUGCCUAUCGGCAAUAUUAUAUAUACAUGUAGAAACGAAUAAUAUACAAUAUGGCACAUGGUAUACAAAGGUGCCUAGACAAAAAAUAAUAUCUAUGUACAAUAUCCAUAUAUGCACACAAGAUACAUGAGAAGAUCAUCAUAUCAAAAACCUUUGAAACAUCAUCAUGCAAGCUUAUCAUUGCCCUACACUUGCAAAGAACCGCCUGAAAAGCAACAAUAAUAAAGAGGGGAGAUAAUAAUCUCGGUGGGUUCCCUAUCUUAUGGGUCCACUCGACUCUAAAGGGCUAAUAUUUAAACCUCAACUUAAGCUUCUCGGUAAAACAAUAAAUGUGUACACUUAUACAAUAGAGAAGGACUUGAGCAUCUAAGGGAUAUUCACAUUGUAUGAAAACAUGUAAUUUGAGUUCAUAUUACUCAAUUUAUUCAGAAAUUUUCACAAAGUAUAUUUCCCUGACCGAACCUACGUCUAGAGAACGACUUAUGUGACAUAUGUUUGUAUAAUUCUACUUUUGUAUGGAUGCAGGUUCCCCGUGGAACUCGAACCCACAUCAAGAACCGUCACUCGUAUGGGACUCGAACCCACUUAGAGUAUAUUUCCUUGUAUGGGACUCGAACCCACCGAGAGGUCCACCUCUCCUCUAUGGGACUCAACCCAUAGUUGAGACUCAAACCCAGUGUGAGGCAGGAAUCAUUGGUGCACAUAUCCCAAUUCUACUUUACAUAUGCAUCUCAAUUGGGAUGUGCACGAUCAAGGGUUAUUUUUUAAUACGUGAUUAGGUUCCAACAUUCAACGUGAUUGCACUCAUUAAUCACUAGGUGAUCAUAUUCACCAAUUCUCAUAUCAUCAUAACAUGUUCCAUACAAGGCCUAUUGACUCAUAAUUCAAGCGACUACUCGUCCACGGUACACACUGAGGUAUCUUCGCGUCCAAGCAUCACCACCUAAGUCAUUUUCAUAACCUAUGUCUUUGUUAUUAGCUUAUUCACCUAGUUAUUAACCUAGGUUCGCCUCACUUUUCAUCAUAGUUAAUUCAACCAUUAUCCAUUCAAGACAAACAACAAUUUGUAAUAUAGUUCAUAACAUAAGCAUAAUAAUUCAUCACCACUCAUCAAGGAUUAUUUAAUAUACAUGCAUGAUUUCUUCAUUAAAGGAUAUAGUAUUGAUUAGCUUUCCAAUGCAUUCGACCUUGUGUCAAUCGAAGUUAUGGUUCUCGCUUUAUGGUGGAAAGGAAAACACAAAUCACCUUUUAACAUAUCAGAAUCCUUGCUCAGCGAGCUUAGGGAGAGCUCCAAGCAAGGCAAGUGUUGCGGCUGGAAAAAUGACAGAGUUGUCACCAUCCUUUAUUCGUUCCUAAGGAACAGGUAAAUAAUGAUAAAACCUAUGACUAAGGUGAGAUAUUAGGUUCGGGGGUCAGUUAAAUAAGAGGAAGGUGUUAGGCAUCCCUUAAGGUGAGAUGUUGUAAACUCUAUGCCUACGUACCUUCGCAUUAGGCGAAGGAUCAGAGUACCGUAGUUCUUCUUUAAAAUGUUGGUUGAUUGAUUGUUUUUAUCCCUUAAAAGUUCUCACGCAUCGGGGGCGGAGAAGUGUUUCUUUUAAAUGCCUUAAUACACUAGGAUAAAGGUCUUACGAUUUGACGUGAGUUUGAAUUGAUUUUAUCCAUUUAUCCCUUGCAAAAAAUAUUGUUUUAAUUUAUUUAAGAAAAUAAAUUAGGAGUCAUAGUUAUGUAUUAGAUAUAACCCUUUAUCCCGAUUUAACCCUUGAAAACCUUAGAGUUUUAUACCAUGUUCUUGUCCCAUUUGAUUUGAAAAUAUAAUUUAAUUUAAUUAAGAAAGAUAAAUUAAAUAAGAUGCAAUAAGAUGUAUCCCAUAUCCCGAUUUUAUCCCUAAUUUAUAUCCCUUAAAACCCUAGAAAUUAUCCCUGAAAUUUAUCCCAUAAAUCCUAGAACUUUUCCUAGAAUGUUAUCCCAUAAAUUAAUCCUAAUUCUCUAAUUAAAUAAUAUCCCAUGAUUAGACCUAUUUUUUAUUCCUUAUUAUUUAAAAGGAGAUAUCCUAAUUUUUAAACUAAUUAAUUUCAAAUUAACCCAAUUAUUUCCAAUUAUGCUAAUUAAUUACUAAUUUAAAUUAUACUUAAUUAAACAUUUUGUAUUUUUUUAUAGACUAAAACAUUUUCAUAUUUUUUUAAGAAUUAUGAAUCAAACACCAAUUAAAAUGUAACUUUAUAAACAUUUUGUAUUUUUUUAUAGACUAAAACAUUUUCAUAUUUUUUUAAGAAUUAUGAAUCAAACACCAAUUAAAAUGUAACUUUAACUGUGGAAUCCAAGUGCACCUUCAGUAAGUAAAAAAAAACAUAUCAUGCUCUUCAAUUGAUUUAUACAGCAUCUCAUUUUCUCUUGUUCUCAAAUUGGACCCCUCAACCAAUCAUCCAUCGACACCUGGCCAAAUACAAAUAUUAAAUAAUGCAAAAUUAAUAGAAACAAAUAUUUCCUCAAAUAUGCAUGUGAUGGAAAAAGGGGAUUUUUUUUUAAAAAUAAUCAUGUUUUUUAAAAAAAAUACGAAAAUAAUCAACUUUUCAAAAAAAAAUCCAAAAUAACCAUGUUUGGGGAGGAUGCGCCGGGGGAGUUGGCGCACCCCCCAAAAAAUAAGAGGAGGCGCCAGAUGCAUUGGGCAAUAUGAAGAGGCGCCAAUGCUUGUGGCGCCUCUACAUGGCCCUCCAAGAGAAAGGGCCAAUACUGGCGCCUAUGUGUCUCUUUUGAAAAGAAAAUUUAAUUUUCCAGACAACAAGAAUCAAACACACAACCUUUGGAUCAAUAGUGAAACACGUUACCAUUGCACCACAAACCCUUCAUGUUAAUUUGUUUCAUCAUAUAUUUAAUAUACCGUGUAUAAUUACUUAAAAGGAGAUAUCCUAAUUUUUAAACUAAUUAAUUUCAAAUUAACCCAAUUAUUCCCAAUUAUGCUAAUUAAUUACUAAUUUAAAUUAUACUUAAUUAAACAUUUUGUAUUUUUUUAUAGACUAAAACAUUUUCAUAUUUUUUUAAGAAUUAUGAAUCAAACACCAAUUAAAAUGUAACUUUAUAAACAUUUUGUAUUUUUUUAUAGACUAAAACAUUUUCAUAUUUUUUUAAGAAUUAUGAAUCAAACACCAAUUAAAAUGUAACUUUAACUGUGGAAUCCAAGUGCACCUUCAGUAAGUAAAAAAAAAAACAUAUCAUGCUCUUCAAUUGAUUUAUACAGCAUCUCAUUUUCUCUUGUUCUCAAAUUGGACCCCUCAACCAAUCAUCCAUCGACACCGUGGGAGUUGGCGCCAGAUGCAUUGGGCCUUUAGUGAAACACGUUACCAUUGCACCACAGACCCUUCAUGUUAAUUUGUUUCAUCAUAUAUUUAAUAUACCGUGUAUAAUUACAAUAGAUUAAUAAAUUAAUUAAACUUAGUUGGACCACGUGCAUGAAAUUCUGAAAGAACACAAACAACAAGUAAUUAUUUUUAUUAACUUCCAAUAUUCCAAUACUAUCUAAUACAAAUUGCUAUUUCCAUUUUAAAUUAUAUGUUACUCCUAUUUUGUAAAAUAUUUUGUUUUAUAUUUUAAGUUGUUUUGCAAUAUAAAUUAAAUAUUAAUAAGUUUUUCUUAUCAUACUAUCUACUAUUUAUAUUAUUCUUUUAUUUCAUCAUCUUUUCAUAUCAUUAAUAAAUGAUAUAUAAUUUAUUUAUUUAUAAAAUUAAUUAUAAUCUAAAUUUGUGUGAAAUAUCAUAAAGAAAUUAUUAUUUAGGACGAAGAAAGUAUCUCAUUUAAGUUAUGCACGAUUUUUAAAAAAUAAUUGAUAGUAUUUAUUUUAUUAUUAAAAUAAAUCUGAUUUAUUAUAAUGUUUUAUUUUUAAAAAAUAUAUUGUUCUUUUUUCAUUUUAUUAAAUUUUAUCUCUAUUCUUUAAUUUUUAAAAAUAUUAUAUAUUAAUAUAUUCAAAUUAAUAUUCAAUUAUUUUGUGUUUUAUUUUAUAAUGUAUUUAUAUUUUAUUAAUUUUUUAUAUAUUAAAUAUUUAAGUAUUAUUUUAUAUAACUUAGACAUGUAUUAAUAUAUUAUAUUAUUUAUAAAAAGUAAUAUAAUAUUUAAAAAUAUAUUAUAUUUAAAAUAAUAUAAUUUUUCAAUUGUAUUUAUAAUAAAUAUUAUGAAGUUUUAUUUGAAUUUUUGUGUAAAAAUUAAUAUAAAAAAUAAUAUGUUUAAGGUUGAAUAAUUCAAAAAAUUUAAAGAGGGGUAAUAAUUUUUAAACGCAUAAUACAAUGUAAACAACCCUAUAAAAUCCAAGAUAGUUUGAAUUGGUGUAUUUAAUAUCGAAUAAUUUAUUUUUGAUGUAUUUAAUAUCGAAUAAUCCAUUUUUGGUGUAUUUAAUAUCGAAUAACCCGUUUUAUCAGCUAUACAUACUCGGUCGAAAGGUGUUGGAUAGUUUUAUAUUGAUUAUAAAUAAAUUAUAUAAAUAUUGAAGAAUAUAAUUCAUAUAUUUAAGAUAUUAAAAUUUAAAAUAAAAAUUUAGUGUCUUUCUCUUAUGAUCUAAGAACAAUGGCUCAUUAAAUAUAUGAUGAAACAAAUUAACAUGAAGGGUUUGUGGUGCAAUGGUAACGUGUUUCACUAUUGAUCUAAAUGUUGUGUAUUUGAUUCUUGUUGGUUGCAAAAUUAAAUUUUCUUUUCAAAAGAAACACAUAGGUGCAAAAUUAAAUUUUCUUUUCAAAAGAAACACAUAGGCACCAGUUGUAUUGGCGCCUCCUCUUGGAGGGUCAUGCAGGCGCCUUUUCAUGAGGCCCAAUGCAUGUGCGCCACGCCUCCUCUUAUUUUUUUGGGGUGCCAACUCCCUCGGCGCAUCCUCCCCCAAACAUGGUUAUUUUGAAAAAAAAAUUGAAAAGUCGGUUAUUUUCGUAUUUUUUUUGAAAAAAAUGGUUAUUUUAAAAAAAAAUAUGGAAAAAGGGGGUCGUCCCUUUACAUCCCUCUCUCCCAAUUCAUUAAUCUUCCUCUGUGCUUAUGAAACAGAGAAAAAAAAAGUCCACUCCAAUUUAUAAUAAAUUCAUGCUCUCAAACAAAUAUCAAACCAGAACAAUACACAAUCAAUCAUAACAACAAUUAGAUUCAAUAGAAAGGAAAAGUGAAUCUUACAAAAAUAUGACGAAUUCGAAAGAAACUGCGGUGACUGCGGGAGGAGAGCGACGGUUGAGGGGAGGUGUGGUCGUAUUCGUCUUCAACGGCGAUGUUGUUGAGGUUGAGUGUGAUGUUCGUCGGAAGGUCGUUGACGACCGGAUCUGGCAUCGUCGGUAGAGCGACUGGAAGUUCGACGACACGCGUCGUGAUUUGGAAGCAGCUUUUGGCAGUGUUGUGUUCGUGGGUGUAUCGAUCUCCUCUUCCUUCUAUUUUUUUUUUUUUUUGAAUCCAAGUGUUUACGAAAUUGAAUUAUAUUCUUUUGAUUUAUGUUUUGGAAUUGUGAAUGAAUGUUAGUGAAGGUAUGGAAAGUUUUAUGAAGAUGAUGUUAACGUUGAACGAAAAUUGGUUUCUAGAGGUAAUUGAUUUUCUUGAAAAGUUGUUUAUUGGUGUUGAGAUAAUGGCAUUUAUAGAAGAAUAACAAAACUAGGAUUUGACUUUUGACUCAAAGAUAGAAAAAAGGUUCUGUGUAGAUUGCAGUAUGUGAAGUUUUUACUUGUGUGAGAGGAAUAGAUAUGUGUAGUGAUAUGUGUAAGAAUUGGUGGAAUUGUGUUAUGCUUGUAGUGAGAGUAUUGUGGUUUGAGAGGAGAAUUUUGCUUCUGCAAAAUACGGAAGAGUUAUCUUCUUUAGACUGGUUUUUUUUUAUUUGGUUUAUAUCGUGUACUUUAGUGUCCCCUAUUCACUGAUGUAGAGUUUUUUUUAAUAUAAUGGGACAAUCUUCCAUGCUAAUUUAUUUCUUUGAUUUCUCCCACUCUUAAUAUUAGAAAUUAUUUCAAUGUUGAGAUAUGGAGUUUUGAAUGCUCAUGAAUGGUUGUCUAUACAUGCUUUCGGAAAGAUUUUGAUUUAUGAGUUGUAAAGAAAUCCUAAUAAUAAUAUAUAAACUUA